Molecule: ribosomal RNA, 481 nt
Filed under: uncultured bacterium
Lineage: Bacteria
Description: partial 16S ribosomal RNA
Rfam family: Bacterial small subunit ribosomal RNA
Source: RNAcentral
GAUGAACGCUGGCGGCGUGCCUAACACAUGCAAGUCGAACGGAGAUUACGGACGGAAGUUUUCGGAUGGAAGACUGUAAUUCUUAGUGACGGACGGGUGAGUAACGCGUGGGCAACCUGCCCUAUACAGGGGGAUAGCAGCUGGAAACGGCUGGUAAGACCGCAUAAGUCGGCGAGACCGCAUGGUUUUGCCGGGAAAUGAGCAAUCAGGUAUAGGAUGGGCCCGCGUCCGAUUAGCCAGUUGGCAGGGUAAAAGCCUACCAAAGCAACGAUCGGUAGCCGGACUGAGAGGUCGGACGGCCACAUUGGGACUGAGACACGGCCCAAACUCCUACGGGAGGCAGCAGUGGGGGAUAUUGCACAAUGGAGGAAACUCUGAUGCAGCGACGCCGCGUGAGUGAAGAAGUAUUUCGGUAUGUAAAGCUCUAUCAGCAGGGAAGAUGAUGACGGUACCUGACUAAGAAGCCCCGGCUAACUACGUG